UCCAGACUCCUACGGGAGGCAGCAGUGGGGGAUAUUGGACAAUGGGGGGAACCCUGAUCCAGCGACGCCGCGUGAGUGAAGAAGUAUCUCGGUAUGUAAAGCUCUCUCAGCAGGGAAGAAAGAAAUGACGGUACCUGAGUAAGAAGCCCCGGCUAACUACGUGCCAGCAGCCGCGGUAAUACGUAGGGGGCAAGCGUUAUCCGGAUUCACUGGGCGUAAAGGGAGCGCAGGCGGCGCGGCAAGUCAGAUGUGAAAGCCCGGGGCUCAACCCCGGGACUGCAUUUGAAACUGCCGUGCUGGAGUGUCGGAGAGGCAAGUGGAAUUCCUAGUGUAGCGGUGAAAUGCGUAGAUAUUAGGAGGAACACCAGUGGCGAAGGCGGCUUGCUGGACGAUAACUGACGCUGAGGCUCGAAAGCGUGGGGAGCAAACAGGAUUAGAUACCCCGGUA
RNAcentral lists this ribosomal RNA (448 nucleotides) under uncultured bacterium. Its description in RNAcentral is "bacterial SSU rRNA". It matches the Rfam family "Bacterial small subunit ribosomal RNA", at positions 330 to 792 of the family's 1533-position model. The record is from RNAcentral.